This 478-nucleotide ribosomal RNA is filed under the name uncultured bacterium. RNAcentral describes it as "partial 16S ribosomal RNA". It matches the Rfam family "Bacterial small subunit ribosomal RNA", at positions 28 to 523 of the family's 1533-position model. The record is from RNAcentral.
GACGAACGCCGGCGGCGUGCUUAACACAUGCAAGUCGAGCGAUGAAAUUCCUUCGGGAAUGGAUUAGCGGCGGACGGGUGAGUAACACGUGGGUAACCUGCCUCAUAGAGGGGAAUAGCCUUCCGAAAGGAAGAUUAAUACCGCAUAAGAUUGUAGUUUCGCAUGAAACAGCAAUUAAAGGAGUAAUCCGCUAUGAGAGGGACCCGCGUCGCAUUAGCUAGUUGGUGAGGUAACGGCUCACCAAGGCGACGAUGCGUAGCCGACCUGAGAGGGUGAUCGGCCACAUUGGGACUGAGACACGGCCCAGACUCCUACGGGAGGCAGCAGUGGGGAAUAUUGCACAAUGGGGGAAACCCUGAUGCAGCAACGCCGCGUGAGUGAUGACGGUCUUCGGAUUGUAAAACUCUGUCUUCAGGGACGAUAAUGACGGUACCUGAGGAGGAAGCCACGGCUAACUACGUGCCAGCAGCCGCCGUAA